GCCGACUUAGCUCAGUGGCAGAGCAAUCCCUUCGUAAGGGAUAGGUCGUGAGUUCAAGUCUCACAGUCGGCU
RNAcentral lists this transfer RNA (72 nucleotides) under Patescibacteria group bacterium. RNAcentral describes it as "tRNA-Thr". It matches the Rfam family "tRNA". From Rfam's summary of the family: Transfer RNA (tRNA) molecules are approximately 80 nucleotides in length. The record is from RNAcentral.